This 69-nucleotide transfer RNA is filed under the name Naemorhedus griseus (Chinese goral). RNAcentral describes it as "tRNA-Gly". It matches the Rfam family "tRNA". From Rfam's summary of the family: Transfer RNA (tRNA) molecules are approximately 80 nucleotides in length. Their secondary structure includes four short double-helical elements and three loops (D, anti-codon, and T loops). Further hydrogen bonds mediate the characteristic L-shaped molecular structure. tRNAs have two regions of fundamental functional importance: the anti-codon, which is responsible for specific mRNA codon recognition, and the 3' end, to which the tRNAs corresponding amino acid is attached (by aminoacyl-tRNA synthetases). tRNAs cope with the degeneracy of the genetic code in two manners: having more than one tRNA (with a specific anti-codon) for a particular amino acid; and 'wobble' base-pairing, i.e. permitting non-standard base-pairing at the 3rd anti-codon position. The record is from RNAcentral. RNAcentral also lists the same sequence under 1 other name. Lineage: Eukaryota; Metazoa; Chordata; Mammalia; Artiodactyla; Bovidae.
GUUCUUUUAGUAUUAAUCAGUACAACUGACUUCCAAUCAGUUAGUUUCGGGCUAGACCGAAAAAGAACA